This 253-nucleotide ribosomal RNA is filed under the name uncultured bacterium. Its description in RNAcentral is "partial 16S ribosomal RNA". It matches the Rfam family "Bacterial small subunit ribosomal RNA", at positions 524 to 776 of the family's 1533-position model. The record is from RNAcentral.
UACGUAGGGGGCUAGCGUUGUCCGGAUUUAUUGGGCGUAAAGAGCGUGUAGGCGGCCAGAUAGGUCUGCUGUGAAAACUCGAGGCUCAACCUCGAGAUGUCGGCGGAAACCAUUUGGCUAGAGUCCGGAAGAGGAAAGUGGAAUUCCUGGUGUAGCGGUGAAAUGCGCAGAUAUCGGGAGGAACACCAGUGGCGAAGGCGACUAUCUGGGGUGCAACUGACGCUGAGGCGCGAAGGCUAGGGUAGCAAACAGG